This 106-nucleotide transfer RNA is filed under the name Fusarium acuminatum. RNAcentral describes it as "tRNA-Pro". It matches the Rfam family "tRNA". From Rfam's summary of the family: Transfer RNA (tRNA) molecules are approximately 80 nucleotides in length. Their secondary structure includes four short double-helical elements and three loops (D, anti-codon, and T loops). Further hydrogen bonds mediate the characteristic L-shaped molecular structure. tRNAs have two regions of fundamental functional importance: the anti-codon, which is responsible for specific mRNA codon recognition, and the 3' end, to which the tRNAs corresponding amino acid is attached (by aminoacyl-tRNA synthetases). tRNAs cope with the degeneracy of the genetic code in two manners: having more than one tRNA (with a specific anti-codon) for a particular amino acid; and 'wobble' base-pairing, i.e. permitting non-standard base-pairing at the 3rd anti-codon position. RNAcentral also lists the same sequence under 1 other name. Lineage: Eukaryota; Fungi; Ascomycota; Sordariomycetes; Hypocreales; Nectriaceae. The record is from RNAcentral.
GGCCUGAUGGUCUAGCGGUAUGAUUCUUGCUUCGGGAGUGACAUCUCAGUCCUAUCAUAAGGACUCAGUUUGCGAGAGGUCCCGGGUUCAAUCCCCGGUCAGGCCC